This 261-nucleotide ribosomal RNA is filed under the name uncultured prokaryote. Its description in RNAcentral is "partial 16S ribosomal RNA". It matches the Rfam family "Bacterial small subunit ribosomal RNA", at positions 524 to 784 of the family's 1533-position model. The record is from RNAcentral.
CACGUAGGGGGCGAGCGUUGUCCGGAAUUACUGGGCGUAAAGGGCGCGCAGGCUGUUAUGCGAGUCUGCUGUGAAAUGUACCGGCUCAACCGGUGCCUUGCGGCGGAUACUGCAUAGCUGGAGUACUGGAGAGGGAAGUGGAAUUCCCGGUGUAGCGGUGAAAUGCGUAGAUAUUAGGAGGAACACCAGUGGCGAAGGCGACUUACUGGACUGUAACUGACGCUGAGUCACGAAAGCGUGGGUAGCAAACAGGAUUAGAUA